UACAGAGGGUGCGAGCGUUAUUCGGAUUUACUGGGCGUAAAGCGUGCGUAGGCGGCUUUUUAAGUCGGAUGUGAAACCCCGGAGCUUAACUCGGGAAUUGCAUUGGAUACUGGGGAGCUAGAGUCUGGGAGAGGAUGGUAGAAUUCCAGGUGUAGCGGUGAAAUGCGUAGAGAUCUGGAGGAAUACCGAUGGCGAAGGCAGCCAUCUGGCCUAAUACUGACGCUGGGGUACGAAAGCAUGGGGAGCAAACAGG
Molecule: unclassified non-coding RNA, 253 nt
Filed under: uncultured Moraxellaceae bacterium
Lineage: Bacteria; Pseudomonadati; Pseudomonadota; Gammaproteobacteria; Moraxellales; Moraxellaceae
Description: contains 16S-23S intergenic spacer region
Rfam family: Bacterial small subunit ribosomal RNA
Source: RNAcentral